UACCGGCGGCUCGAGUGGUGGCCACUUUUAUUGGGCUUAAAGCGUCCGUAGCUGGACUCUUAAGUCUCUUGGGAAAUCUCCUGGCUUAACCAGGAGGCGUCUAAGAGAUACUGGGAGUCUAGGGACCGGGAGAGGUGAGAGGUACUCCGGGGGUAGGAGUGAAAUCCUGUAAUCCCCGGGGGACCACCUGUGGCGAAGGCGUCUCACCAGAACGGCUCCGACAGUGAGGGACGAAAGCUGGGGGAGCGAACCGGAUUAGAUACCCGGGUAGUCCCAGCCGUAAACGAUGCGCGUUAGGUGUACUGGUGACCACGAGUCACCGGGGUGCCGAAGGGAAACCGUGAAACGUGCCGCCUGGGAAGUACGGUCGCAAGGCUGAAACUUAAAGGAAUUGGCGGGGAGCACCACAACGGGUGGAGCCUGCGGUUU
Molecule: ribosomal RNA, 429 nt
Filed under: uncultured archaeon
Lineage: Archaea
Description: bacterial SSU rRNA
Rfam family: Archaeal small subunit ribosomal RNA
Source: RNAcentral